Molecule: transfer RNA, 74 nt
Filed under: Alistipes putredinis
Lineage: Bacteria; Pseudomonadati; Bacteroidota; Bacteroidia; Bacteroidales; Rikenellaceae
Also listed under: 7 other names
Description: tRNA-Asn
Rfam family: tRNA
About the family: Transfer RNA (tRNA) molecules are approximately 80 nucleotides in length. Their secondary structure includes four short double-helical elements and three loops (D, anti-codon, and T loops).
Source: RNAcentral
UCCUCAAUAGCUCAGUUGGUUAGAGCACCUGACUGUUAAUCAGGGGGUCCUAGGUUCAAGUCCUAGUUGAGGAG